UACGGGGGGGGCAAGCGUUGUUCGGAAUUACUGGGCGUAAAGGGCUCGUAGGCGGCCAACUAAGUCAGACGUGAAAUCCCUCGGCUUAACCAGGGAACUGCGUCUGAUACUGGAUGGCUUGAAUCCGGGAGAGGGAUGCGGAAUUCCAGGUGUAGCGGUGAAAUGCGUAGAUAUCUGGAGGAACACCGGUGGCGAAGGCGGCAUCCUGGACCGGCAUUGACGCUGAGGAGCGAAAGCCAGGGGAGCAAACGGG
This 253-nucleotide ribosomal RNA is filed under the name uncultured bacterium. RNAcentral describes it as "partial 16S ribosomal RNA". It matches the Rfam family "Bacterial small subunit ribosomal RNA", at positions 524 to 776 of the family's 1533-position model. The record is from RNAcentral.